RNAcentral lists this unclassified non-coding RNA (201 nucleotides) under Hevea brasiliensis (rubber tree). Lineage: Eukaryota; Viridiplantae; Streptophyta; Magnoliopsida; Malpighiales; Euphorbiaceae. The record is from RNAcentral.
GUUCCAUGAAUAGCUCUUCCUCCUCUAUCUCCGGAUAAAAAUAGUUCUCUGGAACCACGCGGUUGUGAGGCUCUUCCGUUAACAUCUUGAUUAAUUCGCUCGACUGAUUCACAAAGGUAUCAUCAUCUAAUCCAGAUCCGCAGCGUCCAACGCUAUAUGCCCAAUAAAGAAUCGCAUGCUUGCGUACAAUGCCAUUUUCAU